GACGAACGCUGGCGGCGUGCUUAACACAUGCAAGUCGAACGGAAAGGCCCUGCUUUUGUGGGGUGCUCGAGUGGCGAACGGGUGAGUAACACGUGAGUAACCUGCCCUUGACUUUGGGAUAACUUCAGGAAACUGGGGCUAAUACCGGAUAGGAGCUCCUGCUGCAUGGUGGGGGUUGGAAAGUUUCGGCGGUUGGGGAUGGACUCGCGGCUUAUCAGCUUGUUGGUGGGGUAGUGGCUUACCAAGGCUUUGACGGGUAGCCGGCCUGGGAGGGUGACCGGCCCCAGAGGGCUAGGGGAGGGACCCGUGCGGUCUCGGGCGCCAUGGGGGGGAAAAUUCUCCAACGGGGCCGAGUGGGGGAUGAACGCCCCCGGGUCGUGAAGCACGGCUUUUGGGGUAGAAAAGCUUUGUGCUUGUGACGAGGCGUCGUGACGGUAAAUGAUGAAAAAGCCCCGGCUAAAUUCGUG
RNAcentral lists this ribosomal RNA (467 nucleotides) under uncultured bacterium. RNAcentral describes it as "partial 16S ribosomal RNA". It matches the Rfam family "Bacterial small subunit ribosomal RNA", at positions 28 to 507 of the family's 1533-position model. The record is from RNAcentral.